Molecule: long non-coding RNA, 665 nt
Organism: Lingula anatina
Lineage: Eukaryota; Metazoa; Brachiopoda; Lingulata; Lingulida; Lingulidae
Source: RefSeq, a predicted model, not a curated record
AUAGGUAGUCAGGAGAGCGUGAUGGAGGACACAGAUUCCGAAACGUGGUGGUGAUUCUCUUGGAGAAAAUAUGGUAUAUUCAGAGCUGCUUGCUUGAAGUGGACACAACAACUCUCGUCAACUGCCCGUAGGAGACAAGGAUGCGCAGGAGAAAUGACAACGCUUCUAUCGCACCAGCUGCCAUCAAUAUCACCAUGGGCGGUUUGAGACCGUCUUCUGGGUCGUCCGAAAGACGGCCAGAUUUUCAAGUUUACAUUGAUAGGUACAUGUACAUGUAUCUAAUUUUCUCUGUCAGAAGAUUGUCGAAAAUGGAGGAUGGAUCAACAAAUAUUAUUUAGAAAACUGUCAGAAAAUAUCUCUGGAUCCGCCCCUGUCUCUGAUCAACUCUGGCUAGCUAAAGUGGUGUUUUACACGUGUCUUUCUGCGAAUUCUGGAAUUGUAAAUGUACAACAAUCGGAACUCUAAGUGCAGUGCAAUUUUAACAGUAUUGAUGUACAAAACAAUACCCAGUUUUAAGGAGUGUGCACAUUUAGAAUUCUACUUAAAUAACUUGAAUGGUGGAGGCAAAUAUAUUAAUCAAGCAGUAUUUUAAACAAUGUCACCUUACUCUUGGAUGGUAAUUGAAUGGCGUAAUAAACUCGAAUUCAUCCAGGCAGAAAGAAUUU